UACGUAGGGUGCAAGCGUUAAUCGGAAUUACUGGGCGUAAAGCGUGCGCAGGCGGUUAUGCAAGACAGAUGUGAAAGCCCCGGGCUUAACCUGGGAAUGGCAUUUGGGACUGCAAGGCUUGAGUGCGGCAGAGGAGACUGGAAUUCCUGGUGUAGCAGUGAAAUGCGUAGAUAUCAGGAGGAAUACCGAUGGCGAAGGCAGGUCUCUGGGCUGACACUGACGCUCAUGCACGAAAGCGUGGGGAGCAAACAGG
This 253-nucleotide ribosomal RNA is filed under the name uncultured bacterium. Its description in RNAcentral is "partial 16S ribosomal RNA". It matches the Rfam family "Bacterial small subunit ribosomal RNA", at positions 524 to 776 of the family's 1533-position model. The record is from RNAcentral.